This 421-nucleotide ribosomal RNA is filed under the name uncultured bacterium. RNAcentral's name for it is "bacterial SSU rRNA". It matches the Rfam family "Bacterial small subunit ribosomal RNA", at positions 355 to 776 of the family's 1533-position model. The record is from RNAcentral.
UGGGGAAUCUUGCGCAAUGGCCGCAAGGCUGACGCAGCGACGCCGCGUGUGGGAUGACGGCCUUCGGGUUGUAAACCACUGUCGGGAGGAACGAAUACUCGGCUAGUCCGAGGGUGACGGUACCUCCAAAGGAAGCACCGGCUAACUCCGUGCCAGCAGCCGCGGUAAUACGGAGGGUGCGAGCGUUGUCCGGAAUCACUGGGCGUAAAGGGCGCGUAGGUGGCCCGUUAAGUGGCUGGUGAAAUCCCGGGGCUCAACUCCGGGGCUGCCGGUCAGACUGGCGAGCUAGAGCACGGUAGGGGCAGAUGGAAUUCCCGGUGUAGCGGUGGAAUGCGUAGAGAUCGGGAAGAAUACCAGUGGCGAAGGCGUUCUGCUGGGCCGUUGCUGACACUGAGGCGCGACAGCGUGGGGAGCAAACAGG